GAGAAGAUGAGACUCUCAAAGCAAAACCAUGUUUUAGCGUCUGUUUGAUGCCACAGACUCAGACGAAAACAAGUACUUCACGCGGGAAAGAACUGAAUCAUGUGUAGGGUCAUAAGGAUGAUCCUUAGAAGGAAUCUCCAAUAUUGCUGGAACAGGAUUGUUGUAGUUAUCUACAAGAAACCUUAUCAUAUUUGCAACAUA
RNAcentral lists this unclassified non-coding RNA (201 nucleotides) under Hevea brasiliensis (rubber tree). Lineage: Eukaryota; Viridiplantae; Streptophyta; Magnoliopsida; Malpighiales; Euphorbiaceae. The record is from RNAcentral.